CAGCCGCCGCGGGAAUACGAAGGGUGCAAGCGUUAAUCGGAAUUACUGGGCGUAAAGCGUGCGUAGGCGGUGAGCUAAGUCUGCUGUGAAAUCCCCGGGCUCAACCUGGGAAUGGCAGUGGAUACUGGCUCGCUAGAGUGUGUCAGAGGAUGGUGGAAUUCCCGGUGUAGCGGUGAAAUGCGUAGAGAUCGGGAGGAACAUCAGUGGCGAAGGCGGCCAUCUGGGACAACACUGACGCUGAGGCACGAAAGCGUGGGGAGCAAACAGGAUUAGAUACCCGCGUAGUCCCUGUCUCUUAUAC
Molecule: ribosomal RNA, 301 nt
Filed under: uncultured bacterium
Lineage: Bacteria
Description: partial 16S ribosomal RNA
Rfam family: Bacterial small subunit ribosomal RNA
Source: RNAcentral